AUUGAACGCUGGCGGCAUGCCUUACACAUGCAAGUCGAACGGCAGCGCGGACUUCGGUCUGGCGGCGAGUGGCGAACGGGUGAGUAAUACAUCGGAACGUACCCUGGUGUGGGGGAUGACUGGUCGAAAGAUUAGCUAACACCGCAUACGACCUGAGGGUGAAAGGGGGGGACCGCAAAGCCUCAAGCAGCAUGAUGGGCCGAAGUCUGAUUAGCUAGUUGGUGGGGUAAAGGCGCACCAAGGCGACCAUCAGUAGCUGGUCUGAGAGGACGAUCAGCCACACUGGGACUGAGACACGGCCCAGACUCCUACGGGAGGCAGCAGUGGGGAAUUUUGGACAAUGGGGGCAACCCUGAUCCAGCAAUGCCGCGUGUGUGAAGAAGGCCUUCGGGUUGUAAAGCACUUUUGUCCGGAAAGAAAUCGCGCUGGUUAAUACCUGGCGUGGAUGACGGUACCGGAAGAAUAAGCACCGGCUAACUACGUGCCAGCCGCCGCAGUAA
Molecule: ribosomal RNA, 500 nt
Filed under: uncultured bacterium
Lineage: Bacteria
Description: partial 16S ribosomal RNA
Rfam family: Bacterial small subunit ribosomal RNA
Source: RNAcentral